GAGGAUGAUAAGCACCUGGUGGCAG
RNAcentral lists this non-coding RNA (25 nucleotides) under Cricetulus griseus (Chinese hamster). Lineage: Eukaryota; Metazoa; Chordata; Mammalia; Rodentia; Cricetidae. The record is from RNAcentral.